This 433-nucleotide ribosomal RNA is filed under the name uncultured bacterium. Its description in RNAcentral is "partial 16S ribosomal RNA". It matches the Rfam family "Bacterial small subunit ribosomal RNA", at positions 27 to 506 of the family's 1533-position model. The record is from RNAcentral.
GAGCGAACGCUGGCGGCAGGCCUAACACAUGCAAGUCGAACGGAUCCUUCGGGAUUAGUGGCGGACGGGUGAGUAACACGUGGGAACGUGCCCUUUGGUUCGGAACAACUCAGGGAAACUUGAGCUAAUACCGGAUGUGCCCUUCGGGGGAAAGAUUUAUCGCCAUUGGAGCGGCCCGCGUCUGAUUAGCUAGUUGGUGAGGUAACGGCCCACCAAGGCGACGAUCAGUAGCUGGUCUGAGAGGAUGAUCAGCCACACUGGGACUGAGACACGGCCCAGACUCCUACGGGAGGCAGCAGUGGGGAAUCUUGCGCAAUGGGCGAAAGCCUGACGCAGCCAUGCCGCGUGAAUGAUGAAGGUCUUAGGAUUGUAAAAUUCUUUCAGCGGGGACGAUAAUGACGGUACCCGCAGAAGAAGCUCCGGCUAACUUCGU